UUUAAUUGAAGAGUUUGAUCAUGGCUCAGAUUGAACGCUGGCGGCAGGCCUAACACAUGCAAGUCGAGCGGUAACAGAAAGUA
This 83-nucleotide ribosomal RNA is filed under the name Pseudoalteromonas sp. SR45-5. Its description in RNAcentral is "partial 16S ribosomal RNA". It matches the Rfam family "Bacterial small subunit ribosomal RNA", at positions 1 to 81 of the family's 1533-position model. Lineage: Bacteria; Pseudomonadati; Pseudomonadota; Gammaproteobacteria; Alteromonadales; Pseudoalteromonadaceae. The record is from RNAcentral. RNAcentral also lists the same sequence under 8 other names.